RNAcentral lists this ribosomal RNA (253 nucleotides) under uncultured bacterium. RNAcentral's name for it is "partial 16S ribosomal RNA". It matches the Rfam family "Bacterial small subunit ribosomal RNA", at positions 524 to 776 of the family's 1533-position model. The record is from RNAcentral.
GACGGCGGAUGCCAGCGUUAUCCGGAAUGGUUGGGCGUAAAGCGUUCGCAGGUGGCUGUUCAAGUCUGCUGUCAAAGACCGGGGCUUAACCCUAGAAAGGCAGUGGAAACUGAACGGCUGGAGUGCAGUAGGGGUAGAGGGAAUUCCCAGUGUAGCGGUGAAAUGCGUAGAGAUUGGGAAGAACACCGGUGGCGAAAGCGCUCUGCUGGACUGCAACUGACACUGAGGGACGAAGGCUAGGGGAGCGAAAGGG